Molecule: transfer RNA, 85 nt
Filed under: Pseudomonadota bacterium
Lineage: Bacteria; Pseudomonadati; Pseudomonadota
Description: Proteobacteria bacterium (soil metagenome) tRNA-Leu
Rfam family: tRNA
About the family: Transfer RNA (tRNA) molecules are approximately 80 nucleotides in length.
Source: RNAcentral
GCGGAUGUGGUGGAAUUGGUAGACACGCCAUCUUGAGGGGGUGGUGCCGUAAGGCGUGGGAGUUCGAGUCUCCCCAUCCGCACCA